GACGAACGCUGGCGGCGUGCUUAACACAUGCAAGUCGAACGGAAAGGCCCUGCUUUUGUGGGGUGCUCGAGUGGCGAACGGGUGAGUAACACGUGAGUAACCUGCCCUUGACUUUGGGAUAACUUCAGGAAACUGGGGCUAAUACCGGAUAGGAGCUCCUGCUGCAUGGUGGGGGUUGGAAAGUUUCGGCGGUUGGGGAUGGGCUCGGGGCUUAUCAGCUUGUUGGGGGGGUAGUGGCUUACCAAGGCUUUGACGGGUAGCCGGCCUGAGAGGGUGACCGGCGACAUUGGGACUGAGGUACGGCCCAGACUCCUACGGGAGGCAGCAGUGGGGAAUAUUGCACAAUGGGCGGAAGCCUGAUGCAGCAACGCCGCGUGCGGGAUGACGGCCUUCGGGUUGUAAACCGCUUUCGCCUGUGACGAAGCGUGAGUGACGGUAAUGGGUAAAGAAGCACCGGCUAACUACGUG
RNAcentral lists this ribosomal RNA (468 nucleotides) under uncultured bacterium. RNAcentral describes it as "partial 16S ribosomal RNA". It matches the Rfam family "Bacterial small subunit ribosomal RNA", at positions 28 to 507 of the family's 1533-position model. The record is from RNAcentral.